CCAUGAGCACCGCAUGGAGCUCAUGCCAAAAAUCCUUUCGGGGAUAGCGCAGGGAUGGACCUAUGGCGCAUUAGCUGGUUGGCGGGGCAACGGCCCACCAAGGCAACGAUGCGUAGCCGGCCUGAGAGGGCGGACGGCCACAUUGGGACUGAGACACGGCCCAGACUCCUGCGGGAGGCAGCAGUAGGGAAUUUUCGGCAAUGGGGGAAACCCUGACCGAGCAACGCCGCGUGAGCGAAGAAGGCCUUCGGGUCGUAAAGCUCUGUUGUAAAGGAAGAACGGCGCAUACAGGAAAUGGUAUGCGAGUGACGGUACUUUACCAGAAAGCCACGGCUAACUACGUGCCAGCAGCCGCGGUAAUACGUAGGUGGCGAGCGUUAUCCGGAAUCAUUGGGCGUAAAGAGGGAGCAGGCGGCCGCAAGGGUCUGUGGUGAAAGACCGAAGCUAAACUUCGGUAAGCCAUGGAAACCGGGCGGCUAGAGUGCGGAAGAAGGAUCGUGGAAUUCCAUGUUGUAGCGGUGAAAUGCGUAGAUAUAUGGAGGAACACCAGUGGCGAAGGCGACGGUCUGGGCCGCAACUGACGCUCAUUCCCGAAAGCGUGGGGAGCAAAUAGGAUUAGAUACC
RNAcentral lists this ribosomal RNA (624 nucleotides) under uncultured bacterium. Its description in RNAcentral is "bacterial SSU rRNA". It matches the Rfam family "Bacterial small subunit ribosomal RNA", at positions 173 to 786 of the family's 1533-position model. The record is from RNAcentral.